This 1578-nucleotide long non-coding RNA is filed under the name Mytilus galloprovincialis (Mediterranean mussel). Lineage: Eukaryota; Metazoa; Mollusca; Bivalvia; Mytilida; Mytilidae. The record is from RNAcentral.
CCGUGUGGUACGCCAAUUUCAAAAUGAUGUAAUUAAAAUGCCUACAUUGCAUAUUAAUACACUAAUCAGUUUAGACAGGCAAGUGCACGGCUUGUAGAAUAUGGAAUUUACGAAAAUGUUUAUUAGGUCGAUGUUAUUUGAAUGUUACAAAAUGACUAUGUUAUACAUUUGUACUAUCAAUACGCAGCUCAUCAUAGUUUCUCUAAUAAUCCGCAGUGACUCUGUCUUUUCAUAAGAUUGACUGUAAUUGCUAUUUAAAUCGGUUUAACUAUAUUAACCUUGAAACAACAUCUUGUGUGUCCUAGCUAGCUAUAUACCUGUAGCCCAAAAGGCUUCGACUUUUACUUCUAGUCUAACAUCCUACAAACUGCCGUAAAAUAAGUUUCAUCAUUAAGAUUCUUGAACAGUCUAUAAAUACACAUGGAAAAAGGUAUUUUGAAAUUGAAAAUAAAAAACGCUCUAUAUUGUUUUGUGAUAUAAGUUAUUGAAAUAGGACUAUUUAAACAUUAUUUAAACAUCGCUUGAGUUUAAUCGAAAUAAAUGUCGACUCGAUAAGUUCUAUUUACUGUUCCCGUAAACAGCAUAACAACUGCGUUUAUCCUCAUUGUUUUCAACACAUAACCUGGGUAAAGUCUCUUUUUUAUUACUGUGCUAUAAUAUGGAUAAUGCACAGUAAAAGUGUGCAUAAACUACAUCAGAUAUUUUGCACAGUGUAAAAUACUCUGACCUGUAGGAGCAGACCCUGGAUUUUGAAAGGUGUGUAAUUCCAUUUGAUUUAAAAAAAAAAAAAAAAAAAAAACAAAAAAAAAAAAACAAAAAAAAACAACAUCAUCGUGUGUAGCGAGACUAGCAAAAUUUUUGACAAUUUUACGAUUAAACAUUGUAUUUGUUUUCCAUUCAAUAGGUGGGAACUUAAUGUAUGAUUUAUUUUUGUAUUCAAUGUAAAUCCAAAUCAGUGUUUAAAAGUCCAACCGAUAAAAACACAUUUUUUUUGGUAAUUUCUGGCAAAACUGUGAUGUAUAUCUAUCUAUCUGUAUUCUAAUUUAGCUUAUAUACUUUUUUUUGCUUAGGGGCAAGCUGAAGCACGAUUCCGGGUGCGGGAGUUUCUCGCUGCAUUUAACACCUAUUGGUAACCUUCCUGCCGUUCUUUGCUCUUUGGUCGGGUUUUCCAUACUCAAUUAUUUUAUUUUUUUAUUUUAUGCUCGAAUUUAAGGAGGAUCAUACUUAAGGGUAUUAAGCUGCAGAUCAACCAGACUUAAAGAUACGACAUGUCUUCAAUAAUUAAUACAGUAGAAACAAAUUUAAAGAUUGAAACAAGAUUUUUUUCAUUCGGUUUACUUUAUCUGUAUAAAUUUAUGUAGAUCUAUCCUUGGUUCAUCUUCCUCUUCCUCUAAUCAUAUUAUUUAGCGAAUGAAAUGCAACUUAUCUUAACUCAAUAACCCUGUCAAUUUUGAUUUUUCUAACAUAUUCAAAAAUUACACCAAACCGAACUAAAACUGUAGGUCUGGAGAUGUAGAUUAUACGUCAAUAGGACAGCAAUCGUACAACAAACACAAGUUAAGGACAUAUAUAGGGGGC